AUACUUAACCUGGACGGGGUCAAUGGGUGAUCAAAAAGCUCCAUGGCCUAGGCUGGAACCUAAGAUCAGCCUAAGUGGUCGAGCCUACCUAUAAUUUAUGGUUUUAAAAAAAAUUUGGACUAUAGUAUUUCUG
RNAcentral lists this small nuclear RNA (133 nucleotides) under Nicotiana attenuata. Its description in RNAcentral is "snRNA U1". It matches the Rfam family "U1 spliceosomal RNA". Rfam says of the family: U1 is a small nuclear RNA (snRNA) component of the spliceosome (involved in pre-mRNA splicing). The record is from RNAcentral. Lineage: Eukaryota; Viridiplantae; Streptophyta; Magnoliopsida; Solanales; Solanaceae.